UACGGGGGGGGCAAGCGUUGUUCGGAACUACUGGGCGUAAAGGGCUCGUAGGCGGCCAACUAAGUCAGACGUGAAAUCCCCAGGCUCAACCUGGGAACUGCGUCUGAUACUGGAUGGCUUGAAUCCGGGAGAGGGAUGCAGAAUUCCAGGUGUAGCGGUGAAAUGCGUAGAUAUCUGGAGGAAUACCGGUGGCGAAGGCGGCAUCCUGGACCGGCAUUGACGCUGAGGAGCGAAAGCUAGGGGAGCAAACGGG
RNAcentral lists this ribosomal RNA (253 nucleotides) under uncultured bacterium. Its description in RNAcentral is "partial 16S ribosomal RNA". It matches the Rfam family "Bacterial small subunit ribosomal RNA", at positions 524 to 776 of the family's 1533-position model. The record is from RNAcentral.